Molecule: ribosomal RNA, 237 nt
Filed under: uncultured bacterium
Lineage: Bacteria
Description: partial 16S ribosomal RNA
Rfam family: Bacterial small subunit ribosomal RNA
Source: RNAcentral
CGGACGGGUGAGUAACGCGUGGGUAACGUGCCUUGUACUGGGGGGACAACAGUUAGAAAUGACUGCUAAUACCGCAUAAGCGCACAGUAUCGCAUGAUACAGUGUGAAAAACUACCGGUGGUACAAGAUGGACCCGCGUCUGAUUAGCUAGUUGGUAAGGUAAGGGCUUACCAAGGCGACGAUCAGUAGCCGACCUGAGAGGGUGACCGGCCACAUUGGGACUGAGACACGGCCCAA